AACGAACGCUGGCGGCAUGCCUAACACAUGCAAGUAGAACGAGACCUUCGGGUCUAGUGGCGCACGGGUGCGUAACGCGUGGGAACCUGCCCUUAGGUUCGGAAUAACUCCCCGAAAGGGGUGCUAAUACCGGAUAAUGUCUUCGGACCAAAGAUUUAUCGCCUUUGGAUGGGCCCGCGUUGGAUUAGCUAGUUGGUAGGGUAAAAGCCUACCAAGGCGACGAUCCAUAGCUGGUCUGAGAGGAUGAUCAGCCACACUGGGACUGAGACACGGCCCAGACUCCUACGGGAGGCAGCAGUGGGGAAUAUUGGACAAUGGGCGAAAGCCUGAUCCAGCAAUGCCGCGUGAGUGAUGAAGGCCUUAGGGUUGUAAAGCUCUUUUACCCGGGAUGAUAAUGACAGUACCGGGAGAAUAAGCUCCGGCUAACUCCGUG
This 433-nucleotide ribosomal RNA is filed under the name uncultured bacterium. RNAcentral describes it as "partial 16S ribosomal RNA". It matches the Rfam family "Bacterial small subunit ribosomal RNA", at positions 29 to 507 of the family's 1533-position model. The record is from RNAcentral.